Molecule: ribosomal RNA, 481 nt
Filed under: uncultured bacterium
Lineage: Bacteria
Description: bacterial SSU rRNA
Rfam family: Bacterial small subunit ribosomal RNA
Source: RNAcentral
GAUGAACGCUGGCGGCGUGCUUAACACAUGCAAGUCGAACGAUUAACCCUUCUUCGGAAGGUCAUAAAGUGGCGAACGGGUGAGUAACACGUGACCAACCUGCCUCUCACAUUGGGAUAACUUAGAGAAAUCUAAGCUAAUACCAAAUACUCUUGAUCUGCCGCAUGACAGAUCAAGGAAAGCUUUCGCGGUGAGAGAUGGGGUCGCGGCCCAUUAGGUAGUUGGUGGGGUAGAGGCCUACCAAGCCGAUGAUGGGUAGCCGGGUUGAGAGACCGACCGGCCACAUUGGGACUGAGAUACGGCCCAGACUCCUACGGGAGGCAGCAGUGGGGAAUUUUGCGCAAUGGGCGAAAGCCUGACGCAGCAACGCCGCGUGCGGGAUGACGGCCUUCGGGUUGUAAACCGCUUUCAGUGGGAAAGAUAAUGACGGUACCCACACAAGAAGCUCCGGCUAAAUACGUGCCAGCCGCCGCCGUAACAC